Molecule: long non-coding RNA, 597 nt
Filed under: Pan troglodytes (chimpanzee)
Lineage: Eukaryota; Metazoa; Chordata; Mammalia; Primates; Hominidae
Description: lincRNA
Source: RNAcentral
UCUAGUUGUCAUGUCAAAAAACCACUUAGACAGACUAUGAAGAGAUACAUAGGGUGAGAAACGGAGGCCUUCAGCCAACAGCUGGGAGAAGCUGAGUCCCGUCAGCAAUUCAAAAGACUGCAGCCCCAGCCAAGAGUUUGAUGUAACCUCAGGAGAGACCCUGAGCCAGAACCACCUAGGCCAAUGAGCUAUACCUAGUGAUUCCAAAGUCCACAUAUAUUUACUCUGUUCUCACUGUGCAAAGUAAGUAACCGCUCUGAAGUCAAAAAAGCUGGGAUACAUGAAGACUGCCAUCCCUUGAGUCACUUGCCCUGUAGCUGCCACUGUUGGAAAAGGGCUUGAUUCUGUGUCCUUGUGCCCACUUUGAAAAGCCCUGGGAAGUCCUUGGAGUCAGAUGAUCAGGCCUCCACCACUCUGCCAAAAAGUCUGUUCACAAUGGUGCUUCUAGAAUUUCCUUACAGGAAGAGUGAAGAGUAAGCAUUUGGAUUGGACCAGGAUUUGGAGAACUUGUCAUGUUGCUCUAUGUGCAUAUGAAAUGCAUCAUUGUAACUUAGAAUGUGAAUUAUAGAACAAACAUGGAAGUUGGAAAAAUAUUCU